Molecule: ribosomal RNA, 292 nt
Filed under: uncultured bacterium
Lineage: Bacteria
Description: partial 16S ribosomal RNA
Rfam family: Bacterial small subunit ribosomal RNA
Source: RNAcentral
GUGCCAGCAGCCGCGGUAAUACGUAGGGGGCCAGCGUUGCUCGGAAUUACUGGGCGUAAAGGGUUCGUAGGCGGUGUGGCAAGUCGGAAGUGAAAUCUCUGGGCUCAACCCAGAGGCUGCUCCCGAAACUGCCAUGCUAGAGUGUGGGAGAGGCGAGUGGAAUUACAGGUGUAGCGGUGAAAUGCGUAGAUAUCUGUAGGAACACCCGUGGCGAAGGCGGCUCGCUGGACCACAACUGACGCUGAGGAACGAAAGCUAGGGGAGCAAACAGGAUUAGAUACCCUUGUAGUCC